ACAAGGCGGUUGUGUAAAUCAGCAAUCACAUUGAAGCCUUCUCACUGUCAAGAAAAUAAUUCAAGAUGACAAUAAUAGAAAUAAUAAAGCUCAUUAGAGUUCUCCUGAUUUGCUUUCUGGCUCGCUUCAGCACUGCCCAAUAUUCAGUGAGUGUGGAGAGACCAUGUCCAAUGGAAACAGUCACUUUCAUCUGCACUGCUCCUGGAGAUUCCUUGAGAUGGGUACUAUCAGAUGCAACUCCCAUCACUAUCCUCUCUUCUCCCUCUGGUCUCAAUGUACCCCAUGCUGUGUCAGGUUACACUGUGACACUGAUUGCAUUCAAUGACACUACUUUAACGUCUACUCUGUCAAGAGCAGCAGAUAAUGGGAUCACUGUGCCCUGUUUAGCUACUGUGCCUACUCUGACCACUCACUAUAGGAUCUUCAAUGAUUCGACUGGUUAGUGAGUUGCAGUUAGUGUCUCGUCUAUUGUGUGUAUACACUAGUUACAUAGAUCUAUCAGGACCACCGUCCACCAUCAGAUACUUCAUUCUGAGCAAUUCAGCCAAUGAAGUUAGUGUAUCUGUACAGUGGGACUCUCCUACUGAGACUGGUGGUAGAAAUGACCUCACCUACACAGUAACCGUCUCACCUCCGGCCCAGCUCUCUGUACUGUCCUCACAUCUACCUCUGUUACUGUGACUGCUCAAUACUAUAUGUAGACUAUAAUGUCAGUGUUAUGGCUACCAACUGUGCUGGGAACAGUACGACUGCUGAGUACAACUUUAGGAUCGAGCAUUUGGACCAACCACCAGCAGUUUGCCAGGAUCCACAGUAACCAUCCAGUGUGAUGCUGGAUAUGUGUCUGCUGUUACAAUGGUGACAUGUGAGGGUACACUGAUGUGGAGUCCAGACCCUGAGGCUAUUGAGUGCACAUCACUAACUACACCUACUCCUACAACUCUCCCCCCUCAAAUGAGGUGCACAGCUUCACUACCCCCACCACGGAAUGGCACCAUCAGUGAUCAUUCAGUACCAGCUAUUCCCGGUACACAAGUGACCUUCCAGUGUGACGAUGCACUGCUCCCUGAGGGCAUAAUGACUGUCACCUGUCUAGCUACAGGAGAGUGGGACAGGAACACGGGGGAGAUUGUCUGCAGAGGCAAGUGUAUUCGAAUACACUUGUAAUCAUACUUCUCUCCUGAACCACCUACAGCUGUUCUUUGUAAUUACGCCAGCCUAUCUGAUGGGAGUCGAUUUGAUGCAGCUGUCUCCAUCAGCGUGGUUGUCACGGCAGUUGUGUUCACCAUCAUUGGAUUAUUGAUGGGACUCUUGAUCAUGUAUUUGCUCAUGCGUAA
Long non-coding RNA from Halichondria panicea, 1337 nucleotides. RefSeq lists it as uncharacterized. NCBI's taxonomy places the organism in Eukaryota, Metazoa, Porifera, Demospongiae, Suberitida, Halichondriidae. The transcript is spliced from 4 exons. The record is from RefSeq and is a predicted model, not a curated record.